Molecule: non-coding RNA, 587 nt
Organism: Paramuricea clavata
Lineage: Eukaryota; Metazoa; Cnidaria; Anthozoa; Malacalcyonacea; Plexauridae
Source: the annotation of a GenBank genome assembly
GGAAUACGCAGGGGUAUCAUAUAAAUGUGUAUCGUUGGAUUUUACUGGAACUUGGGAAGUACACUACUUCCAAAAAUUAAUGGAAGAUUAUUAAAUAACAAUUAGAGAAUGACAGUAUAUUUGUUAACAAUUUUAGCAAAUUUCAAUUCCAAGACAGUUACGACAUGGCAGAUUAUACCGUAGUUAUGGCAUAGCAAUUUGACAUGGUAGAAUUUUCCGCGUACUCGAAUAAAUUUGAAAAUUAUGAUGAUAGAGUUUUCAUGAAAGAAGCUCGCUUGCAGGUAAAGAGGAGGUUAAAUAUCGAUUCUCUUCUUUGCUCGUACAAGUUUGAGAAUUGCGAAGUUCAGACUUAUGACUGUCUUUAUAUAUAGCCUGGUCUGGAACUUUGAAAAGAACUAAAACUAUAGGUGAAUGUAGAAGACCGUAUUUAGAAACGCGUUGUUUAGGCAGAAUCUUUUCAGUGUGUGAAUGAUGAUGAAGUGCAUCAUAUAUUAAUUCUCAUCAAAAAAGCUUGCUCAAUGGCAGUUACAGUAGAGUCCAGACGGUGUCUAAAUCAUGUCAAUUAUAUUACCGGUAGAAGAGAGUUG